Molecule: ribosomal RNA, 492 nt
Filed under: uncultured bacterium
Lineage: Bacteria
Description: partial 16S ribosomal RNA
Rfam family: Bacterial small subunit ribosomal RNA
Source: RNAcentral
AGUGAACGCUGGCGGUAGGCCUAACACAUGCAACUCGAACGGCAGCACAGUAACAGUUUGCUUUUACAGGUGGCGAGUGGCGGACGAGUGAGGAAUACAUCGCAAUCUACUUUUACGUGGGGGAUAACCAAGGGAGACUGACGCUAAUACCUCAUACUACCUUCGGCUGGAAGCAGGGGAUAUUCGGACUUCGCGCGAUUGAAUGAGCCGAAGCCGAGUUCCCUGGUUGGCGGGGUAAAGGCCUACCAAGGCGACGGUCCGUAGCCGGUCUGAGGUGAUGAUCAGCCACCCUGGAACUGGGACACCGUCCAGACUCCUACGGGAGGCAGCAGUCGGGAAUAGUGGACAGUGGGCGCAGACCUGAUCCAACCAUACCCCAUGGGUGAGGAAGGCCUUCGGGUUGUAACGGACUCUUAUUGGGAAAGAACAGCGCUAGGCUAAUACCCCGCUGUUCUGACGGUACCCAAAGAAUAAGCACCCGCUGACUUCGUG